AUUGAACGCUGGCGGCAGGCCUAACACAUGCAAGUCGAGCGGUAGAGAGGUGCUUGCAUCUCUUGAGAGCGGCGGACGGGUGAGUAAUGCCUAGGAAUCUGCCUAGUGUGGGGGAUAACGUUCGGAAACGGACGCUAAUACCGCAUACGUCCUACGGGAGAAAGCGGGGGAUCUUCGGACCUCGCGCCAUUAGAUGAGCCUAGGUCGGAUUAGCUAGUUGGUGAGGUAAUGGCUCACCAAGGCGACGAUCGUAACUGGUCUGAGAGGAUGAUCAGUCACACUGGAACUGAGACACGGUCCAGA
This 303-nucleotide ribosomal RNA is filed under the name uncultured bacterium. RNAcentral's name for it is "bacterial SSU rRNA". It matches the Rfam family "Bacterial small subunit ribosomal RNA", at positions 30 to 335 of the family's 1533-position model. The record is from RNAcentral.